AGCUCAGUCCGUUAGAGCAUGGUGCUUAUAACACCAAGGUCGCAGGUUUGAUCCCCGU
RNAcentral lists this transfer RNA (58 nucleotides) under Apaloderma vittatum (bar-tailed trogon). It matches the Rfam family "tRNA", at positions 9 to 63 of the family's 71-position model. Rfam says of the family: Transfer RNA (tRNA) molecules are approximately 80 nucleotides in length. Their secondary structure includes four short double-helical elements and three loops (D, anti-codon, and T loops). The record is from Rfam by way of RNAcentral. Lineage: Eukaryota; Metazoa; Chordata; Aves; Trogoniformes; Trogonidae.